AUUGAACGCUGGCGGCAGGCCUAACACAUGCAAGUCGAGCGGAUGAAGGGAGCUUGCUCCUGGAUUCAGCGGCGGACGGGUGAGUAAUGCCUAGGAAUCUGCCUGGUAGUGGGGGAUAACGUCCGGAAACGGGCGCUAAUACCGCAUACGUCCUGAGGGAGAAAGUGGGGGAUCUUCGGACCUCACGCUAUCAGAUGAGCCUAGGUCGGAUUAGCUAGUUGGUGGGGUAAAGGCCUACCAAGGCGACGAUCCGUAACUGGUCUGAGAGGAUGGUCAGUCACACUGGAAGUGAGACACGGUCCAGGCUCCUACGGGAGGCAGCAGUGGGGAAUAGUGGACAAUGGGCGAGAGCCUGAUCCAGCCAUGCCGCGUGUGUGAAGAAGGUCUUCGGAUUGUAAAGCACUUUAAGUUGGGAGGAAGGGCAGUAAGUUAAGACCUUGCUGUUUUGACGUUACCAACAGAAUAAGCACCGGCUAACUUCGUG
RNAcentral lists this ribosomal RNA (484 nucleotides) under uncultured bacterium. RNAcentral's name for it is "partial 16S ribosomal RNA". It matches the Rfam family "Bacterial small subunit ribosomal RNA", at positions 30 to 507 of the family's 1533-position model. The record is from RNAcentral.